Molecule: ribosomal RNA, 953 nt
Filed under: Camarosporidiella celtidis
Lineage: Eukaryota; Fungi; Ascomycota; Dothideomycetes; Pleosporales
Also listed under: 2 other names
Description: SSU rRNA
Rfam family: Eukaryotic small subunit ribosomal RNA
Source: RNAcentral
UUGGAUAACCGUGGUAAUUCUAGAGCUAAUACAUGCUGAAAACCCCAACUUCGGGAGGGGUGUAUUUAUUAGAUAAAAAACCAACGCCCUUCGGGGCUUCUUGGUGAUUCAUGAUAACUUUACGGAUCGCAUGGCCUUGCGCCGGCGACGGUUCAUUCAAAUUUCUGCCCUAUCAACUUUCGAUGGUAAGGUAUUGGCUUACCAUGGUUUCAACGGGUAACGGGGAAUUAGGGUUCGAUUCCGGAGAGGGAGCCUGAGAAACGGCUACCACAUCCAAGGAAGGCAGCAGGCGCGCAAAUUACCCAAUCCCGACACGGGGAGGUAGUGACAAUAAAUACUGAUACAGGGCUCUUUUGGGUCUUGUAAUUGGAAUGAGUACAAUUUAAACCUCUUAACGAGGAACAAUUGGAGGGCAAGUCUGGUGCCAGCAGCCGCGGUAAUUCCAGCUCCAAUAGCGUAUAUUAAAGUUGUUGCAGUUAAAAAGCUCGUAGUUGAAACUUGGGUCUGGCUGGCAGGUCCGCCUCACCGCGUGUACUUGUCCGGCCGGGCCUUCCUUCUGGAGAACCUCAUGCCCUUCACUGGGCGUGUUGGGGACCAGGACUUUUACUUUGAAAAAAUUAGAGUGUUCAAAGCAGGCCUUUGCUCGAAUACGUUAGCAUGGAAUAAUAGAAUAGGACGUGCGGUCCUAUUUUGUUGGUUUCUAGGACCGCCGUAAUGAUUAAUAGGGACAGUCGGGGGCAUCAGUAUUCAAUUGUCAGAGGUGAAAUUCUUGGAUUUAUUGAAGACUAACUACUGCGAAAGCAUUUGCCAAGGAUGUUUUCAUUAAUCAGUGAACGAAAGUUAGGGGAUCGAAGACGAUCAGAUACCGUCGUAGUCUUAACCGUAAACUAUGCCGACUAGGGAUCGGGCGAUGUUCUUUUUCUGACUCGCUCGGCACCUUACGAGAAAUCAAA